CGCAAUGGACAUAAAAGGUGUGACGGAU
RNAcentral lists this small RNA (28 nucleotides) under Bombyx mori (domestic silkworm). Its description in RNAcentral is "ovarian small RNA-14312". The record is from RNAcentral. Lineage: Eukaryota; Metazoa; Arthropoda; Insecta; Lepidoptera; Bombycidae.